AUUAAUAAGUCUCGCAACACUGCCUACACUUUGUUUUUCGGUCGAUGUGUCAUGGCGGAUUCCGUGCGCGUUUGCAUCUUUUCUGCGGAUCGCAAAUAAUAAUUAUUCUUUUGAACCAAGUAAUAAUUUGUUUUGUAGCAAGUUCACUUGAAUCGAAGCCCACAUCAAACUACGACGGCCAAGCCAAGCAUUUGCUGCCAGCAAUGAUUCCUUCCGGAAUUCAAUCAGGGUGCGAGUUCCUCUAAACAUAAAUGGAAUAGGAAUCCGCUAGACGGCUGUUUUUGGGAUCUUGCCCAGGACGUUUCUUUGGACGCAGAGCUGGGAGUGUUCCGCAGGAAAUGUAUUACACCAACGGUCAACUUUAGGCCCAGGGAGCCAACAGCCAGGGAGAACUCUCUACGUUUUUAUUACCGGAAAGCGGAAUAUAUGUUGCAGAUAUACUUAUAGUAAGUUUAUGGAUUAAACUCAACUAUUAUGGAGAAUCACCUAGCAGUACGUCAGGAGAAAUCUAAAUCCGGAGAUACGCCUAUUAUAUAUAUGGCAAAAGGAAUAAAAACAUCAGAUCGGGUACGAAAACAUGAACGAGCUAUAUGAAUUGUUUGCUUGUUUGUUUCUAUUGUUUGCUGAGGGAAUCUACACGUAUUGGAGUACCUUGAGGCUUGUAUUAUAUCUGUCCACUGCGUUCAUUCAUCAUUUGAAUGGUUCCAAUUGGUUAAUGCAAUAAAUAAAAUGUAUUAAAUGACGAGUAAA
Long non-coding RNA from Aedes aegypti (yellow fever mosquito), 750 nucleotides. RefSeq lists it as uncharacterized. The transcript has 4 exons. Lineage: Eukaryota; Metazoa; Arthropoda; Insecta; Diptera; Culicidae. The record is from RefSeq and is a predicted model, not a curated record.